CCUACGGGCGGCAGCAGUGAGGAAUAUUGGUCAAUGGGCGCUAGCCUGAACCAGCCAAGUAGCGUGAAGGAUGACUGCCCUAUGGGUUGUAAACUUCUUUUAUAUGGGAAUAAAGUGCAGUAUGUAUACUGCUUUGCAUGUACCUUAUGAAUACGGAUCGGCAAAUACCGUGCCAGCAGCCGCGGUAAUCCGGAGGUUCUGAGCGUUAUCCGGAUUUAUUGGGUUUAAGGGGAGCGUAGGUGGAUUGUUAAGUCAGUUGUGAAAGUUUGCGGCUCAACCGUAAAAUUGCAGUUGAAACUGGCAGUCUUGGGUACAGUAGAGGUGGGCGGAAUUCGAGGUGUAGCGGUGAAAUGCUUAGAUAUCACGAAGAACUCCGAUUGCGAAGGCAGCUCACGGGACUGCAACUGACACUGAUGCUCGAAAGUGUGGGUAUCAAACAGGAUUAGAUACCCCUGUAGU
Molecule: ribosomal RNA, 459 nt
Filed under: uncultured bacterium
Lineage: Bacteria
Description: partial 16S ribosomal RNA
Rfam family: Bacterial small subunit ribosomal RNA
Source: RNAcentral